Long non-coding RNA from Thalassophryne amazonica, 99 nucleotides. RefSeq lists it as uncharacterized. The record is from RefSeq and is a predicted model, not a curated record. NCBI's taxonomy places the organism in Eukaryota, Metazoa, Chordata, Actinopteri, Batrachoidiformes, Batrachoididae. The transcript is spliced from 3 exons.
UGUGUGUAUGUUGUUACAGAAUUCCAUCUGCAGCGGCAGACUGCAGAAGAUGACAUGAUGCGUGAUCAUUUCUCAAUGAUAAACACACAGACAAUAAUU